RNAcentral lists this ribosomal RNA (440 nucleotides) under uncultured bacterium. Its description in RNAcentral is "partial 16S ribosomal RNA". It matches the Rfam family "Bacterial small subunit ribosomal RNA", at positions 338 to 795 of the family's 1533-position model. The record is from RNAcentral.
CCUACGGGUGGCAGCAGUAGGGAAUAUUGCUCAAUGGGGGAAACCCUGAAGCAGCAACGCCGCGUGGAGGAUGAAGGUUUUCGGAUUGGUAACUCCUUUUGUUAGAGAAGAUAAUGACGGUAUCUAACGAAUAAGCACCGGAUAACUCCGUGCCAGCAGCCGCGGUAAUACGGAGGGUGCAAGCGUUACACGGAAUCACUGGGCGUAAAGAGCGCGUAGGCGGGAUAGCAAGUCAGAUGUGAAAUCCUAUGGCUUAACCAUAGAACUGCAUUUGAAACUGGUAUUCUAGAGUCUGCGAGAGGUAGGUGGAAUUCUUGGUGUAGGGGUAAAAUGCGUAGAGAUCAAGAGGAAUACUCAUUGCGAAGGCGACCUGCUAGAACAUAACUGACGCUGAUGCGCGAAAGCGUGGGGAGCAAACAGGAUUAGAUACCCCUGUAGUC